CUCAAAUGAAUUGACGGGGGCCCGCACAAGCGGUGGAGCAUGUGGUUUAAUUCGAUGCAACGCGAAGAACCUUACCUGGUCUUGACAUCCACAGAACUUUCCAGAGAUGGAUUGGUGCCUUCGGGAACUGUGAGACAGGUGCUGCAUGGCUGUCGUCAGCUCGUGUUGUGAAAUGUUGGGUUAAGUCCCGCAACGAGCGCAACCCUUAUCCUUUGUUGCCAGCGGUUAGGCCGGGAACUCAAAGGAGACUGCCAGUGAUAAACUGGAGGAAGGUGGGAUGACGUCAAGUCAUCAUGGCCCUUACGACCAGGGCUACACACGUGCUACAAUGGCAUAUACAAAGAGAAGCAACCUCGCGAGAGCAAGCGGACCUCAUAAAGUAUGUCGUAGUCCGGAUUGGAGUCUGCAACUCGACUCCAUGAAGUCGGAAUCGCUAGUAAUCGUAGAUCAGAAUGCUACGGUGAAUACGUUCCCGGGCCUUGUACACACCGCCCGUCACACCAUGGGAGUGGGUUGCAAA
RNAcentral lists this ribosomal RNA (520 nucleotides) under Klebsiella pneumoniae. RNAcentral describes it as "bacterial SSU rRNA". It matches the Rfam family "Bacterial small subunit ribosomal RNA", at positions 900 to 1421 of the family's 1533-position model. Lineage: Bacteria; Pseudomonadati; Pseudomonadota; Gammaproteobacteria; Enterobacterales; Enterobacteriaceae. The record is from RNAcentral.